UCUUAUUGAGAGUGUAACCUCUUGAAGCCUACUGGUGCAGGAGGGAUUUUGCAACCUUCCUUUGGCUUUUGUCACCUAUGGAAAACUACAAACCAGCUUGCCUAUCCGGUGAUUGGAACCAGGAGGAUUGCCGGCCUUGGGUCUGGAAAUCCUAUCCCAUGUGUCUUCCUUCCUCCCUCCCUCCCUUCCUUGGUUCCUUCCUUCCCCUGACUAGGCCCCAGAGGGGUGGGGAGGCCUUCCUGGGCCUGGCAUCAGGGCUCCUGGGCUCCCAGCCAAGUGUCCAGAGGUCACUCCUCCUGGCAUCUGGAUCCUUCUUAUCUUCCUGAGACAUAGGAGGCUCCUGCUCUGGAGAUGACUGAAGGGAAAACACCUGUAUUUCCAGGGCCUUGGAAAUAGCCUGCUCCAGCCGGCCUUCCCGGGAGAAACUGAGAAAGGACAUUGGUCCGAAGCAUUUCUCUUUCGGUUUGUGCUGCGCUGAGCCUGUCCUGUGAUGCGGCCCUCACCAACCAAGGACUGAACGAGAGGGACUCCAUGCGAACCUGCUCAGCAUACAGCAGGUGCCUCGUGGAUAUUCUUCCCUAAGGCUCCAGGCCAGCCAAGCACUGCAUUAACCAGGUUCGGAUGAACUUUAGAAUGUACGCAUCUGAGCUGUCAUAGUUUUUUGUUUUCUUGUUUUUUUGAGAUGGAGUUUCGCUCUUUCACCCAGGCUGGAGUGAAAUGCCGCGAUCUCAGCUCACUGCAACCUCUGCCUCCUGGGUUCAAGCCAUUCUCCUGCCUCAGCCUCCCAAGUAUCUGCGAUUACAGGCUCCUGCCACCAUGUCCAGCUAAUUUUUUGUAUUUUUAGUAGAGACAGGGUUUCACCAUGUU
This 867-nucleotide long non-coding RNA is filed under the name Homo sapiens (human). RNAcentral describes it as "non-protein coding lnc-PSMA6-4:1". The record is from RNAcentral. Lineage: Eukaryota; Metazoa; Chordata; Mammalia; Primates; Hominidae.